Molecule: ribosomal RNA, 373 nt
Filed under: uncultured organism
Description: partial 16S ribosomal RNA
Rfam family: Bacterial small subunit ribosomal RNA
Source: RNAcentral
GUAGGUGGCAAGCGUUGUCCGGAAUUAUUGGCGUAAAGCGCGCGCAGGCGGGUCCUUUAAGUCUGAUGUGAAAGCCCACGGGCUCAACCGUGGAGGGUCAUUGGAAACUGGGGGACUUGAGUACAGAAGAGGAAAGCGGAAUUCCAAGUGUAGCGGUGAAAUGCGUAGAGAUUUGGAGGAACACCAGUGGCGAAGGCGGCUUUCUGGUCUGUAACUGACGCUGAGGCGCGAAAGCGUGGGGAGCAAACAGGAUUAGAUACCCUGGUAGUCCACGCCGUAAACGAUGAGUGCUAAGUGUUAGGGGGUUUCCGCCCCUUAGUGCUGCAGCUAACGCAUUAAGCACUCCGCCUGGGGAGUACGGCCGCAAAGGCUG